GAUGAACGCUGGCGGCGUGCCUAAUACAUGCAAGUCGAGCGAACGGACGAGAAGCUUGCUUCUCUGAUGUUAGCGGCGGACGGGUGAGUAACACGUGGAUAACCUACCUAUAAGACUGGGAUAACUUCGGGAAACCGGAGCUAAUACCGGAUAAUAUUUUGAACCGCAUGGUUCAAAAGUGAAAGACGGUCUUGCUGUCACUUAUGGCUGGAUCCGCGCUUCAUUAGCUAGUUGGUAGGGUAGCGGCUUACCAAGGCAACGAUGCGUAGCCGACCUGAGAGGGUGAACGGCGACAUUGGGACUGAGGUACGGGCAAGACUCCGACGGGAGGCAGCAGUGGGGAAUAUGGCACAAUGGGCGGAAGCCUGAGGCAGAAACGCCGGGUGCGGGAUGACGGCCUUCGGGUUGUAAACCGCUUUCGCCUGUGACGAAGCGUGAGUGACGGUAAUGGGUAAAGAAGCAACGGCUAACUACGUG
This 477-nucleotide ribosomal RNA is filed under the name uncultured bacterium. RNAcentral describes it as "partial 16S ribosomal RNA". It matches the Rfam family "Bacterial small subunit ribosomal RNA", at positions 28 to 507 of the family's 1533-position model. The record is from RNAcentral.